Molecule: ribosomal RNA, 417 nt
Filed under: Acanthamoeba genotype T4
Lineage: Eukaryota; Discosea; Longamoebia; Acanthamoebidae
Description: SSU rRNA
Rfam family: Eukaryotic small subunit ribosomal RNA
Source: RNAcentral
AAAAUUAGAGUGUUCAAAGCAGGCAGAUCCAAUUUUCUGCCCCCGAAUACAUUAGCAUGGGAUAAUGGAAUAGGACCCUGUCCUCCUAUUUUCAGUUGGUUUUGGCAGCGCGAGGACUAGGGUAAUGAUUAAUAGGGAUAGUUGGGGGCAUUAAUAUUUAAUUGUCAGAGGUGAAAUUCUUGGAUUUAUGAAAGAUUAACUUCUGCGAAAGCAUCUGCCAAGGAUGUUUUCAUUAAUCAAGAACGAAAGUUAGGGGAUCGAAGACGAUCAGAUACCGUCGUAGUCUUAACCAUAAACGAUGCCGACCAGCGAUUAGGAGACGUUGAAUACAAAACACCACCAUCGGCGCGGUCGUCCUUGGCGUUGGUCCUUCACGGGGCCGGCGCGAGGGCGGCUUAGCCCGGUGGCACCGGUGAA